This 70-nucleotide transfer RNA is filed under the name Loxodonta africana (African savanna elephant). It matches the Rfam family "tRNA". From Rfam's summary of the family: Transfer RNA (tRNA) molecules are approximately 80 nucleotides in length. Lineage: Eukaryota; Metazoa; Chordata; Mammalia; Proboscidea; Elephantidae. The record is from Rfam by way of RNAcentral.
GCGCUGGUGGCUCAGUGGUAGAACUUUUGCUUGCUAUGCAUGAGACCCUGGUUUGAUCCCAGCCGGUGCG